GUGACGAAUGCUUUGGAAACUACAGUUCACACUUCCGUGUCGCGGGUUCGAAUCCCGCCGGGUCCGCCAUACUAUGGACCCGUAGCUCAGUCGGUAGAGCAGGAAUGUUUCCAAAAACCCUCGUCGUCGCGGA
RNAcentral lists this Y RNA (133 nucleotides) under Pararhizobium polonicum. Its description in RNAcentral is "Y RNA-like". It matches the Rfam family "Y RNA-like". Rfam says of the family: In Deinococcus radiodurans Rsr is tethered via Y RNA to the exoribonuclease PNPase and channels single-stranded RNA into the PNPase cavity. Rsr and Y RNA enhance degradation of structured RNAs by PNPase. This role could be conserved, as Rsr and ncRNAs called YrlA and YrlB (Y RNA like) also associate with PNPase in an evolutionary distant bacterium Salmonella Typhimurium. The record is from Rfam by way of RNAcentral. Lineage: Bacteria; Pseudomonadati; Pseudomonadota; Alphaproteobacteria; Hyphomicrobiales; Rhizobiaceae.